GAGGUGGUAGUUUAAUUAAAAUAUUGGCAUUGGAAGCCAGAGAUUAGGUUACAGCCCUACUCCUUG
RNAcentral lists this transfer RNA (66 nucleotides) under Umbonium thomasi. RNAcentral describes it as "tRNA-Pro". Lineage: Eukaryota; Metazoa; Mollusca; Gastropoda; Trochida; Trochidae. The record is from RNAcentral.